Molecule: small nucleolar RNA, 59 nt
Filed under: Euglena gracilis
Lineage: Eukaryota; Euglenozoa; Euglenophyceae; Euglenales; Euglenaceae
Description: Eg-m9 box C/D methylation-guide snoRNA
Source: RNAcentral
GGCAGGAUGUUCUAAGCUUUGGUUAGCCGACUGCCUGACGUGAUUUGGUGUGCUGAUUU